GCAAGUCGAACGGGUAUGCCUCUGAAGCUUCGGUGGAUGAGGAAUUACAUACUAGUGGCAAACGGGUGAGUAACACUUUGGUAAUCUGCCCUAAAGCGGGGAAUAAGCUGAAGAAAUUCAGUCUAAUACCCCAUGUGCUUAUGAAAUUAUUUUUCAUAAGUAAAGGUAUUUCGCUUUAGGAGGAGCCUAAGUCCUAUCAGCUUGUUGGUGUGGUAAAAGCGCACCAAGGCUAUGACGGGUAGCUGGUUUGAGAAGACGACC
RNAcentral lists this ribosomal RNA (261 nucleotides) under uncultured bacterium. Its description in RNAcentral is "partial 16S ribosomal RNA". It matches the Rfam family "Bacterial small subunit ribosomal RNA", at positions 57 to 305 of the family's 1533-position model. The record is from RNAcentral.